UUCUUCAUUAAAAAUAUUUAGAAAAACUAAUUAAUUAAAAGGAACUCGGCAAAUUUAGUUGCUUCGCCUGUUUAUCAAAAACAUGGCUCUCUGUUUAUAUAAACAUAGAGAGUCGGGCCUGCCCAGUGAAUUUUCAACGGCCGCGGUACUCUGACCGUGCAAAGGUAGCAUAAUCAUUUGCCUUAUAAUUGAAGGCUAGUAUGAAUGGUUUGACGAGAGCGACGCUGUCUCUUUCUUAUUUUCAAGAACUUAACUUUUAGGUGAAGAGGCCUAAAUUCUAUUGAAGGACAAGAAGACCCUGUCGAGCUUAAAAGACAAGAUAGAAGCCUAUAUAUUUUUAAAUAAAUUUCUAUUAAGCUUUUUAGUUGGGGCGACUAAGGAACAAAAAAAGCUUCUUUUGAAUAAUAAACAUUCAUGUUUGGAUCCGGGAGUAACCGAUUAAAGGAAUUAGUUACCGUAGGGAUAACAGCAUAAUCUCUCUUGAGAGACCUAAUCGAAAGAGGGGGUUGUGACCUCGAUGUUGGACUAGAAUAUCCUAAAGAUGCAGA
This 548-nucleotide ribosomal RNA is filed under the name Hua yangi. RNAcentral describes it as "Hua sp. 1 LD-2019 partial large subunit ribosomal RNA". It matches the Rfam family "Bacterial large subunit ribosomal RNA", at positions 1669 to 2559 of the family's 2925-position model. Lineage: Eukaryota; Metazoa; Mollusca; Gastropoda; Semisulcospiridae. The record is from RNAcentral.